CUUGGCACUGGGAGAAUUCACAGUUGACUUUAUUAUUCUGUGGUUCUGCGGGUGCCAAAAU
Molecule: microRNA precursor, 61 nt
Filed under: Drosophila yakuba
Lineage: Eukaryota; Metazoa; Arthropoda; Insecta; Diptera; Drosophilidae
Description: Dya-Mir-96-P2_pre stem-loop
Rfam family: mir-263 microRNA precursor family
Source: RNAcentral